RNAcentral lists this transfer RNA (81 nucleotides) under Paragonimus skrjabini miyazakii. RNAcentral's name for it is "Paragonimus miyazakii tRNA". It matches the Rfam family "tRNA". From Rfam's summary of the family: Transfer RNA (tRNA) molecules are approximately 80 nucleotides in length. Their secondary structure includes four short double-helical elements and three loops (D, anti-codon, and T loops). Lineage: Eukaryota; Metazoa; Platyhelminthes; Trematoda; Plagiorchiida; Troglotrematidae. The record is from Rfam by way of RNAcentral.
GGCUUCGUAGCCCAACUGGUAGGGCGCUUGCCACGUUGAGGCAUGUUUUUUCUAUCGCUGGUUCGAAUCCAGCCGAAGCCC